RNAcentral lists this ribosomal RNA (375 nucleotides) under uncultured organism. RNAcentral's name for it is "partial 16S ribosomal RNA". It matches the Rfam family "Bacterial small subunit ribosomal RNA", at positions 527 to 896 of the family's 1533-position model. The record is from RNAcentral.
GUAGGUGGCAAGCGUUGUCCGGGAAUUAUUGGGGCGUAAAGCGCGCGCAGGCGGUUCUUUAAGUCUGAUGUGAAAGCCCACGGGCUCAACCGUGGAGGGUCAUUGGAAACUGGAGAACUUGAGUACAGAAGAGGAAAGCGGAAUUCCACGUGUAGCGGUGAAAUGCGUAGAGAUGUGGAGGAACACCAGUGGCGAAGGCGGCUUUCUGGUCUGUAACUGACGCUGAGGCGCGAAAGCGUGGGGAGCAAACAGGAUCAGAUACCCUGGUAGUCCACGCCGUAAACGAUGAGUGCUAAGUGUUAGGGGGUUUCCGCCCCUUAGUGCUGCAGCUAACGCAUUAAGCACUCCGCCUGGGGAGUACGGCCGCAAAGGCUG